AAAGAUUACUGACUGUUUCAGGAAUUAGGAUGUCGAGAUGUUAGGAUGUGUUGGAAUAAAAUCAGUUCAUUUUUAUACUUUGUUUUUUUCUUUUUAGGAUCUGUUGGAAUAAAAUCUGUUCCUUUUUUUAUAUUUUAAAUGAGUUUUUUGUCAAGAUCUUUUGGAAUAAAAUCAGCUAUUUCUCUUCUCUAUUUUUUUAUUUUUUUUUUGGGUUUCCUUAAAUUGGAAUAUGAUUCUUUUCUUAAUUGAACGGCCAUAAACGUUGCAUUGGAAAUUCUUUUUAAUGCAUUUUCUUUUUCUUUUUCAUUUCCCUUGUAUUCGUGCAAAUAAAGGCCACAGCAGUUGAAGUGCUACAAGCGUUAAAGGGAAAAUUGGGCCCUCUUUCUUGUCAUUGAAAAAUACAAAGGGCCAAUUUUGUCAUUUCAGAGCAGCCCUCUUUCCCGUUGGAAGAGAAGAUGUCAAAAGCACAUGGAUGUUCUUCUCAUGUCCUCAUGUUGGAAAGGAAGCCGCAAUUGACUUUAUGUUCUAUUUUUUUUUCCUAAUGACAGCAUGCAUUGGUUGAUGAAUCUUUCUCCAAUCAAACGUUACAGACUCUAGUUUCAUUCUGCCGCUGAUUUACACAUGCAUGGGGAGUUCGCGCGACAUUGCCAUUGGGACCAGUAGCAGUUGUGUCUCUCCUUCUGGGGACUUUGCUACAAAAUGAGGUUGAUUCUGUUAAAAAUCCAGAUGAGUAUCUCCGGCUUGUAUUCACUGCAACAUUCUUUGUUGGGAUCACUCAAGUCACACACUUGGAUUUUUUAGGAUUCUUGAUCGACUUCCUAUCUCAUGCGGCCAUUGUUGGGUUCAUGGGUGGGGCAGCCAUCACAAUUGCUCUGUAACAGCUCAAAGGUUUCCUUGGCAUAAAGAAUUUUACUAAGAAGACAGAUAUAAUUCUGGUUUUGCAUUUGGUAUGGAGUUUUGUACAUCAUGGGUGGAAUUGGUAGACAAUCCUCAUAGGAUCAGUCUUCUUGGUUUUCCUUCUAGUUACCAAAUACAUUGUAAGUUUUUUCUCUUUGCUUCAUAUUCCUUGGACUCCAUGCUUGUGGAAGGUUUCCUUCUUACAUGACUCAAAAUUGUUACAGGGGAAGAAGAAGAAGAGCCUUUUCUGGGUGCCCGCGAUCGCCCCUUUGAUCUCUGUUAUUCUCUUGACCUUUUUUGUGUAUAUUACACAUGCAGAAAAGCAUGGUGUUAAAAUUGGAAGUUUCCGAACUUUGUAGAGUUAACAUCUCUAUUUUAUCUAAUAUUAGUCAACUAAUAGUGCUGCAAAUGUCUGAAAGGUGAAAGACAUACAAAGGGGUAUAAAUCUGUCAUCCUUGGACCAA
Molecule: long non-coding RNA, 1361 nt
Organism: Magnolia sinica
Lineage: Eukaryota; Viridiplantae; Streptophyta; Magnoliopsida; Magnoliales; Magnoliaceae
Exons: 3
Source: RefSeq, a predicted model, not a curated record